AGACAUCUGUUCCUUUGACAAAGCUUCUUAUGUUUCGUCAGAUUUCAGAAUGUCUUAAAACAAAUCUGGAUUACUUCACCCGGAACUGUAUUUUCAAUUACAUUGUCUGGCUUUUGCGGAUUCAUACAAUC
This is a small nucleolar RNA of Temnothorax curvispinosus, 131 nucleotides long. RefSeq annotates it as small nucleolar RNA SNORA79. The transcript has a single exon. The record is from RefSeq and is a predicted model, not a curated record. Lineage: Eukaryota; Metazoa; Arthropoda; Insecta; Hymenoptera; Formicidae.